GAUGAACGCUGGCGGCGUGCCUAAUACAUGCAAGUCGAGCGAACAGACGAGGCGCUUGUUCCUCUGACGUUAGCGGCGGACGGGUGAGUAACACGUGGGUAACCUACCUAUAAGACUGGGAUAACUUCGGGAAACCGGAGCUAAUACCGGAUAAUAUAUUGAACCGCAUGGUUCAAUAGUGAAAGACGGUUUUGCUGUCACUUAUAGAUGGAUCCGCGCCGAAUUGGCUGGUUGGUAGGGUAACGGCUUACCAAGGCAACGAUGCGUAGCCGACCUGGGGGGGGGUUCGCCCACACUGGAACUGAGACACGGCCCAGAGUCCUACGGGAGGCAGCAGUAGGGAAUCUUCGGAAAUGGGGGAAAGCCUGACGAAGCAACGCCACGUGGGUGAUGAAGGUCUUCGGAUCGUAAAACUCUGCUAUUGGGGAAAAACGAAUGUGGAAGUAACUAUGCACGUCUUGACGGUACCUAAUCAGAAAGCCACGGCUAACUACGUG
This 497-nucleotide ribosomal RNA is filed under the name uncultured bacterium. Its description in RNAcentral is "partial 16S ribosomal RNA". It matches the Rfam family "Bacterial small subunit ribosomal RNA", at positions 28 to 507 of the family's 1533-position model. The record is from RNAcentral.